RNAcentral lists this non-coding RNA (29 nucleotides) under Rattus norvegicus (Norway rat). Lineage: Eukaryota; Metazoa; Chordata; Mammalia; Rodentia; Muridae. The record is from RNAcentral.
UGACGGAAGCAAACAUAUAAAGACCAACC